CAGUAGCCGCGGGAAAACGGAGGGGGCUAGCGUUGUUCGGAAUUACUGGGCGUAAAGCGCACGUAGGCGGCUUUGUAAGUCAGAGGUGAAAGCCCGGGGCUCAACCCCGGAAUUGCCUUUGAGACUGCAUCGCUUGAAUCCAGGAGAGGUGAGUGGAAUUCCGAGUGUAGAGGUGAAAUUCGUAGAUAUUCGGAAGAACACCAGUGGCGAAGGCGGCUCACUGGACGACUGUUGACGCUGAGGUACGAAAGCGUGGGGAGCAAACAGGAUUAGAUACCCCAGUAGUCCCUGUCUCUUAUAU
Molecule: ribosomal RNA, 301 nt
Filed under: uncultured bacterium
Lineage: Bacteria
Description: partial 16S ribosomal RNA
Rfam family: Bacterial small subunit ribosomal RNA
Source: RNAcentral